Molecule: long non-coding RNA, 600 nt
Organism: Cebus imitator (Panamanian white-faced capuchin)
Lineage: Eukaryota; Metazoa; Chordata; Mammalia; Primates; Cebidae
Exons: 3
Source: RefSeq, a predicted model, not a curated record
ACUGCAAAGGGUGGGCCCAGUGAGGACGGGGCAGACCUGUGCUCCCCAGGUCCUCCCGGCCAGGACCACAUGCUCCCUGGGACCACUGAAGGUCUGAGCCCUGCCAGGGCACUGAGGGCUGCCAGCCCUCCCCAGCCCAGGCUUCCCCCCGGGGCCACACACUCACCAGCAUUGCUCAUCUGCAGUCUCCCGGAAUCAGUCACCCAAGACACCGAGGUUCUCAAAUCACAGCACUGCCAGAGGCGCCCUGAAAUCACAGCUGCGCCCGGCUCAGCCCCGCCUGGAGCUGUGCGCCUUUCAUCUGCCCAAGCCGUGGGGCCGCUGGAAGGGGUCUGGCCACAAGAGGAGUGCCAAGCCAGGCGUUACAGCGCCCCUCCCUACCCCCCCCACUGGUCUCCAGAGAGGCCCAGGGAUGUCAAGCUGGUCAGGUGAGGAUGGGGAGGCGCCGGCAGGCUUGGCCCAGUGUAGGGAAGGCGAGAUUCAGGCACUCAGAGCGGAGAUGGCUCCCCAGCCCCCACCCAGCUACCCAGGCCUGGGAGCCAGAUAGCAAUUGCACUUCCCCAGAGGCAAGGUAGCCCCUCCCACCGCAGCGUCACCCAC